Molecule: long non-coding RNA, 2188 nt
Organism: Ostrinia nubilalis (European corn borer)
Lineage: Eukaryota; Metazoa; Arthropoda; Insecta; Lepidoptera; Crambidae
Exons: 2
Source: RefSeq, a predicted model, not a curated record
UAACGUAGAGCUGGCUAGCUGGAACCGCUAUGAUAGAACUGUCAUUUAUAUUCAAAUGUGAUGUUGUCUUUAGCUGUGUAAUGGCUGUGCCGAACUCUCUAUUGUAAAUAUUCUACGUGUGCUUUGAUACCAAUAUAUUUAUUAUGUUACUACCAACCACUGUGUUUAUUGCUCUGUAGCGGACUUAAUAUAUCCCUAACAAGGGUUAUGGGCCCAGAGCCCCAGAGCAAAGUAACAUUUUAAAAUAGUUUGUCGUGAAAAUAAUUUCGUAUAAAGUGACGUGAACAGAAUGUCGAAUGUACGUAUUGAGUUAUUGAGAAAAGACAACUAUGAUAGUUGGAAAGUGCAAGUAGAAGCCCUAUUGAUCAGAAAUGAUUUUUGGGAAUAUGUAAGUGGAGAAAAGUCAAAACCCACGGAUGAGACAUUAUCAACAGCAUGGGAUUUUGCUGACAGAAAGGCAAGAUCGGAGUUGAUUUUGUCAUUGGAUCCGAGUGUUGUUCAUCAUGUGAAAAGAUUGAAGACUGCACGAGAGGUUUGGCUGAAAUUAGAGAGUCUGUUCGUAUCACGUGGACCUGCGAAAAAAGCGACCCUGAUGAAAAGGCUCAUGCUACACAAGAUGAGUGAGGAUCAGAACGUAUGCGAACAUCUUGAUUUAUUUUUUGAAGCUGUCGAUAAGUUAGAAGAAAUGGACAUCGUGAUCCAUGAUGAUCUUUUAGCGAUUAUGUUGCUGUAUAGUUUACCAGCAAGCUAUGAGAACUUCAGAUGCGCCAUUGAAAGUAGAGACGAGCUGCCAAAGCCUGAACAACUUAGGGUGAAAAUUAUCGAAGAAUACAGUUCGAGAGGCAAUACCCAAGUUGAGAGGAUAGAAGGAGCUAUGUAUAUAAAUAAACAUCAGAAGAAGAAUGGGACUGGACCUGAAACAAAAUUUAAGUAUAAAUGUUUCAAAUGUCAUAACUUUGGACAUAAGGCAUCCGAUUGCAAGAAAAAGAAGUCUUCUCAGGCUUCAGAACAGAAACCUUCAGAAUCUAGUUGCGUUGAGUCGUGUUCGACUGUAGAACAUGAAGCUUUAACUGUGUAUCAUGUUUCAGAUAACUGUUUAGCUAUUGAUUCCAAGCGUCUUCAUCAGGAAUGGUUGUUUGAUAGCGGUUGCAGCUCGCACAUGUGUAACAACGCAAGCAGGUUUGAUAAAAUAUUGCCAAGUAACCAACAAUUGAAAUUAGCCACUGAUUCUUUGACAACCGUGCAAGGUAAGGGUACUGUCAAGAUAUUAGCAUGUAACGAUGAUAUUACGCGAAAAAUCCAAUUUGAAGAUACGUUGUUAGUUCCUGAUCUACGUAGUAACUUAAUUUCGAUUUCUAAACUUACUGAUCGAGGUUGUAUAGUCACUUUUAAACGUGAUGUAGCAUAUGCAACUAAGGAUGGUGAAGUUAAGUUGACUGCUGAUCGUAGAGGUAAUUUGUAUUACCUGAGAGAGCAGGAUGCUUCGGCAUCUGUAGUAUCAGAUAAGGAUGUGGAUUUGUGUAGAUGGCAUGAGCGUAUGGGACAUUUGAAUGCUAGGGAUCUUAUGAAAGUACUGAAGAAAUCGGGUAUAGACGCCACCAAGUCUGAUACUGAAUUGCGCGAUUGUGAUGUGUGUGCUAAGGGAAAGAUGGUUGCGUUGCCUUUUGUGAAGUCCAGUCAGCCAUGUGACGAAAAGUUAAAAAUAAUUUAUUCUGAUGUGGUAGGCCCAAUGAGAGUUCAAUCAAAUGCGGGAAACAAAUAUUUUGUUACAUUUAUUGAUGAUUGUACUCGUUGGUGUGAAGUUUUUAUGUUGAAAAAUAAAAGUGACGUCUUGUCAAAGUUUAAAAUAUUUAAAUGUCAGAUCGAAAAUUUGACAGGUAAACAAAUAAAAUAUUUCCAUUCCGAUAAUGGCAAGGAAUUUGUGAAUAGUGAUUUUUCGAAAUUUUUACAAGAAAAUGGAAUAAAAAGGAGGUUGACUACGCCGUAUUCACCGCAGAGUAAUGGAAUUGCAGAACGGAUGAAUCGCACCUUACUGGAGAAGGCAAGAUAACAUUCGGUGCGAAAGUUCAUGUUUUGGAAAAGGAGCCAGGAAAGGAUAAGUUCGCAGCACGAAGUUCUCCCGGCAUUUUUGUGGGCUACCCGGCUGAAUCUGGUGGCUAUAGGGUGUGGAUAUCCGAGAAAAGAAAAA